Molecule: ribosomal RNA, 1456 nt
Filed under: Pseudoalteromonas sp. BS6_77
Lineage: Bacteria; Pseudomonadati; Pseudomonadota; Gammaproteobacteria; Alteromonadales; Pseudoalteromonadaceae
Description: bacterial SSU rRNA
Rfam family: Bacterial small subunit ribosomal RNA
Source: RNAcentral
UGCAGUCGAGCGGUAACAUUUCUAGCUUGGUAGAAGAUGACGAGCGGGGGACGGGUGAGUAAUGCUUGGGAACAUGCCUUGAGGUGGGGGACAACAGUUGGAAACGACUGCUAAUACCGCAUAAUGUCUACGGACCAAAGGGGGGUUCGGCUCUCGCCUUUAGAUUGGCCCAAGUGGGAUUAGCUAGUUGGUGAGGUAAUGGCUCACCAAGGCGACGAUCCCUAUCUGGUUUGAGAGGAUGAUCACCCACACUGGAACUGAGACACGGUCCACACUCCUACGGGAGGCAGCAGUGGGGAAUAUUGCACAAUGGGCGCAAGCCUGAUGCACCCAUGCCGCGUGUGUGAAAAAAGCCUUCUGGUUGUAAAGCACUUUCUCUCACGAGGAAAGGUUAUAGGUUAAUACCCGCUAGCUGUGACGUUACUGACAGAAAAAACACCGGCUAACUCCGUGCCACCAGCCGCGGUAAUACGGAGGGUGCGAGCGUUAAUCUGAAUUACUGGGCGUAAAGCGUACACACGCGGUUUGUUAAGCGAGAUGUGAAAGCCCCGGGCUCAACCUGGGAACUGCAUUUCUAACUGGCAAACUAUAGUGUGAUAUAGGGUGGUAGAAUUUCACGUGUAGCGGUGAAAUGCGUAUAGAUCUGAAAGAAUACCGAUGGCGAAAGCAGCCACCUGGGUCAACACUGACACUCAUGUACGAAAGCGUGUGGAGCAAACACGAUUAGAUACCCUGGUAGUCCACGCCGUAAACGAUGUCUACUAUAAGCUCGCAACCUCUAGAGUGUGAUAGAGGGUGGUAGAAUUUCAGGUGUAGCGGUGAAAUGCGUAGAGAUCUGAAGGAAUACCCGAUGGCGAAGGCAGCCACCUGGGUCAACACUGACGCUCAUGUACGAAAGCGUGGGGAGCAAACAGGAUUAGAUACCCUGGUAGUCCACGCCGUAAACGAUGUCUACUAGAAGCUCGGAUCCUCGGUUUUGUUUUUCAAAGCUAACGCAUUAAGUAGACCGCCUGGGGAGUACGGCCGCAAGGUUAAAACUCAAAUGAAUUGACGGGGGCCCGCACAAGCGGUGGAGCAUGUGGUUUAAUUCGAUGCAACGCGAAGAACCUUACCUACACUUGACAUACAGAGAACUUACCAGAGAUGGUUUGGUGCCUUCGGGAACUCUGAUACAGGUGCUGCAUGGCUGUCGUCAGCUCGUGUUGUGAGAUGUUGGGUUAAGUCCCGCAACGAGCGCAACCCCUAUCCUUAGUUGCUAGCAGGUAAUGCUGAGAACUCUAAGGAGACUGCCGGUGAUAAACCGGAGGAAGGUGGGGACGACGUCAAGUCAUCAUGGCCCUUACGUGUAGGGCUACACACGUGCUACAAUGGCGCAUACAGAGUGCUGCGAACUCGCGAGAGUAAGCGAAUCACUUAAAGUGCGUCGUAGUCCGGAUUGGAGUCUGCAACUCGACUC